Long non-coding RNA from Heterocephalus glaber (naked mole-rat), 2369 nucleotides. The record is from Ensembl. Lineage: Eukaryota; Metazoa; Chordata; Mammalia; Rodentia; Bathyergidae.
CAGUUUCAGAACUUAGCAUGGGACAUAGUCAGUGUUUGAAGUGCCAACUUCAUCAAGUAAUGCAUGCUUUAUUAUAAAUAAAAUUCUAGCUUUGAAAGGCGUUCUUAUGUGUUGAACAGUAUGCUUCCGGAGUAAAUUUAAAAUAGUCUCUUGAAGCUCUAGUUAUGGAAGUAACUUUUAUUUUUUAAUUAACAUUCUCUUAUUAAUGCCCUAUCCAUCGUCAAAGGAUUAUGACUUGUGUGUAAAAACAUUUAAAACAAACAACAGCAACAACAACAACAAAAAUGUAAUGGCAAUCUUGCUAGUUGUGCUACCUAACAGUACCAUCUUGGAUCCUUCAAAACCAAAGACUUGCCCCAGCACUGCUGUGGAACCACCUGGUUGAUGACUCCUACUGAUUAUCUUUAGGAAAAGCAGGCCUUUAUUUUUAAACAGGCUUUAAUGAACUAUACCUGUUAAGUUCCAAAGGUCAAAAUGGAGACAUUUGGUGUCUAAGAGUCCAACAUAGAAAGGGAGCUGCUUUUAAAGAAUUCCCUGCAAACAAUGAAGCAGUCAUGUGAAUGGAGGGUGCUCUUGUGUAGCUGGUCAGGGACUUUUUUUUCUUUUCUCCUGAACUACAUGAUUCUAAUUGGAAUGUUCAUUUGCCUAUUUUUAUUCUUUCAAAUGCUUGUAGGUGGUUUGGAGUGUGCUAUUGUGCUGUUCCUACUCAGUAAACAGGUGUGAUCAGUUAACAAGAAAUAACACUGUUUGAAAACUAGCUUUGAAUAAUGAUUUUUCCCUUUGUACAUGACCUGCUGAAUUUCGGUACAGUGUUUUUGUAGCUAACUUAUUUUGUCAUGCACAUAAUGUAUAUUUGUUAUGCACUACUUUUGUAUAUCUUGUUUUUCCAACAGUGAACAUUUUUAGGCACACUUUUCACUGACGGGAUAUCUCUUUAUGCAAUACCUCAAUUUUUCAUAUUGCAAAGAGUAGCUUUUUGUACUUUUAUUACUGAGAGAUCUUCAUAUACUUCAUUUUUUAAUAUAAAUAAUUUUAAUAAAUUUUAUUUUCUUAUAUUCUGCUUUUUAUACAUUUCAGUGCUCUGCAUACAUUUUAAAUUAUGAAUGUUGUGCACUGGCAAUGCUAUUUUAGAGUCUGCAGAGAAGAGAAAGCAUGUUGCUUAAACAUCCUUCCCCAGCACCAGCUAUUGGUGUACCUAUAAUUUAAGAAAUAGUCUAUAUGAAGUCACAAAUUAAUGAAAAAAAAUUGCAUGAAAAUGACAGAUAACACUGUAGUUCCUAAAAAAAUUAAAUGCAUAAAUAUAGGGUAGAAAUUUAAAAUAACAAAAUUGUCUACAGCUUCUUACUAAGUUUUUAAAAUUAUUCAUAAAAUGCAGACAUUUUUGGUGAAUGUUUAGCCAUUUUUAAUCUUAAUAAAUUGAUGUUAAGUGUUUGAUUCAGAGAUGUCUGCUCUUUUAAAUUAUAUAUAAGAAAAAAAUAGCCUGCCGUGGGACAGGUGUGUAAUGUUAGUAUGCAUGACUAAUGUAAGAAAUUGUUAUUCUACUAAUAUUUACUUGUGAUUGUGUGACAAGCGUGUUUACAGAUUAUUUGGUUAUACUUCAAUUUACAGGGCAUACACAGUGAUUAUCUAUUACUCUGAACUUUAUUGAUUACAUGUCCUUCAGAUUACAUGGGAUUGUAGUUGGGAGUUACCAUGUAACUCAAACAUAAUUAACAUGUAAUUAGUUUACAGAUUUUAGGGUAUCACUUCAAUUUACCAAGCAUGUAGUUCUAGCGUACUAGCAUGGCACCAGCCAUGUACUUACAAUGUAGUUACAGAGUAAUUACAUGGUUAUUUUUGCAAUGUAAAAUAAAGUGUUUCUGAUUAUUUUCUAUGUAAAGGAACCCUCUCCCUCCCCCUUCUUGUCCUCAUGCUUUGGUAUAAUAUAUAUACUUCUCCAUACACAGACCUCUGCAGAAUGCAAAAUAAAACUUGCAGUGAAUGAAUUUAGCAUUUUAUGAGAGUGCUGUUGGAAAGACUUGAUAAUUCACCCCUUUUGUUUUGAAGAGUUGAAUCUUCUGUUAAAAGGUGAUUUAAAACUUGAAUGUGAUGAAUUGUGGCAAGUUAACUUCAAGUUAUGUGCAAUACUUAUUUCAAACUUUUGAAAGAUCUUUGCAGUGUAAUUCUUUGUUUUUAAUUGCAGACAUUUAAAAUGUCAUUUUCUACUGUUAAGAGUAAUCCUCUUUCUUGCUGGUGUUUCUAAAGAAAAGAAUCAGAAAUCAAUCUUUCUACUAAUGUAAAUUUGAGAUUAUUUUUAAAAAAUGGAAUAAAAGGUUUUGGCCAUUUGCUUUAUUUUAUUAUCUUAUUUUAAAGCUACUGUGAUUGAUAGC